AGGCUGCAGCGCUGGCCCGGUCCGGCCCUGUCAGCGCAAGCCAUGAAGCCGCCCAGCAGCAGUGCCCGCGGCCGCCGCUCGGGGCAGCUGGUGCCCGUGCUCUGGAGCUGCAGCUGCCCCAGGAGUGGUGCAAUGCCACGUCAGUACAAUCGAGGGGGUCAGCACAAUUGAGGUCUUGGAACACGUCCCUACUUGUUACAUUGUAAAGUGGGUUCCCUUUAUGCCAAUUUGAGUUGCAUGCUGGUUUCCA
Molecule: long non-coding RNA, 250 nt
Organism: Gavialis gangeticus (Gharial)
Lineage: Eukaryota; Metazoa; Chordata; Crocodylia; Gavialidae
Exons: 3
Source: RefSeq, a predicted model, not a curated record